This 5000-nucleotide unclassified non-coding RNA is filed under the name Harpegnathos saltator (Jerdon's jumping ant). RNAcentral's name for it is "growth arrest-specific protein 2, transcript variant X2". Lineage: Eukaryota; Metazoa; Arthropoda; Insecta; Hymenoptera; Formicidae. The record is from RNAcentral.
GCACUCAGGGGCUGCAGUCGCGAUCGGAUGAUCGGUGGGUGCGGGUUGCCGGUCGGGAACGCGCAAGGUGUUCCAUCGACGAGUGAGGGAUCUCGGAGCGGUAGAUUCGGAGCGGCGAAAUCGCCAGGGACAUCUGCGCGCGGCCGGCGAGCUAUGGUUCUCACGAGCGUUUCUCAGGCGCCACUCGAUCGCGAGGCGUACGUCCCUGCGAGGCGACGUCGCUCUUGAGUAAGCUGGGAGCCGUCGAAGAACGUGAAGUGGAUCCUGGGGGAAGAGGAGCCGGCGAGAACGCGAGGGGAGGAACGUCGAGAAGGAGAGAAUUCAGUGCGCCGCGUCAGGAUCGACCUCGGCACCGCUUCCACGAUGUCGUACGCCAAUCGAUUCCCGUCCACUCAGCACACUCGUUAUCGCAGUAGCUGGGGACCAUCCUCGGUCUCUGUCUUCAACCGCGCCGAUGUGCCGCGACCCUCGCCAGAAGAGGAAGAGUUCGCCGACUUCUAUCACGAGCGGCUGCACUCGGCGCAGAGUCGUCAGCUGAUACCACUUCAGGAAGACUUGGCGGAUUGGAUUAACAAGACGAUAAAUGUGGAUUACAUAACGGGCGACAAUUUCUUCGACGUGCUCGACAAUGGCGUGGUUGUGUGUCGACUGGCGAGAGUCAUCCAGGAAAAAGCGAGAUCCGCGAUAGACGCCGGACGGGCGAAAGGACCAAUGCCGGUGAUAAGAGGCCGCUGUUGGGAGAACGCCGCGCGGCGCAGCUUCUUUUCCCGCGACAACAUGGAGAACUUCAUCCAAUUCUGCCGGCGGUUGGGCGUCCACGAGAAUCUUCUCUUCGAAAGCGACGAUCUCGUCCUACACGGCCAGCCACGGAACGUGGUGCUGUGUCUGCUGGAAGUUGCGCGACUGGCAGCUAGAUAUUCCUUGGAGCCACCCGGGCUCGUGCAGCUCGAGAGGGAAAUUGCGGCAGAGCAGGAAAGGGAUCUUCACUGUUUGUCCGAUAGCGGCAUAUCUCACAGCAGCCUCGUCUCCUGGCAGUUCCAGUCGCCGUCGCCGACUGCGACGCCCAGAACCCCGCCGGAGAAGAUCAAACACAGCAGCUCUGCGUCCGAAGUUACGACUACGGCCACUCGAUGGUUGGACCCGGUGACCGGUGCCACGCACGAGCCCGAAAUGCGGAGGUCCGUGAGCGACAAUGGUCCGACUGGCAGCGACGGCGUGCCGAGCGACACGACGGAGGAUGACUGGUCCCGUGGUAGCGCCGAGGACCCGGACGAGGUGCCGUCACCGUCAAGCUCGCCGUCACCGUCGCCGGCUGAACCACCGGAGCACACCGGCCCGAUAACAGAACUCGAUCGCAAGGUGCGGAGAGCCACCGAGGCCGUCCAGAGACUUUGCCAGUGCCCGUCGGAAAAGUGUUCCAAGUUAAAGGUGCGCAAGGUCGGCGAAGGCCGCUAUCACAUCGCUGGACGUAACGUCUUUAUAAGGCUCCUCAAGGGAAGACACAUGAUGGUGAGAGUGGGCGGCGGAUGGGACACCCUGGAGCAUUUUUUGGCGAGGCACGACCCCUGUCAGGUGAGGGUCCUCAACCGCGAGAGCACACCGCCACCCGCUCACGGCAACAAGCACGACAGCUUCCUGCACAUUCGCGCCAAGUACCGCAGCCCGCCGUCGGAGCCAACCUCGCGCCGGUCGUUAGCCUAAGAGCACGUAGUGCCUAAUCACGCGCCCGUGCGACCAUGCGACUCCGUCUGCCUCUCUCUCUCUCUCUCUCUCUUUCUCUCUCUCUCUCUCUCUCUCUCUCUCUAUGUCUCUCUUUCGCUCGCUCGCACGCGUGGCGCACGUGCGACUCAAGCAUCCUGCUCCUUAUACGGCUACAUCACCGCUACAUCCUCGCGUCUCGUCCCAUAGGGGCAGCCGAUGAUCCUCCGACUCGCGGAACACACGUCGACGUGCGGCGUCGCGUCGCGUCGCGCCGCGUCGCGCGCCGCCAAAUGACGCGACGAAAACGCGCGGCGGCUCGAGUUACCGUAGAGACGCGCAAUUUGCGCGACUCUCUCUCUUUCUCUCGCGUAUGAUACAUUCCUCUUGCCCAACUACUCUCGGUGAGUUGGCGACUUUGAGGGAGAACGACGGCAGUGGCCGAGAGCUUGCGGUUACACUCACAUGUAUACACACUCACAUGUACACACACUCACACACAUGCACAUAUUCCGAUAAGUUGUUCGCAAUGUUACCCGUGAGUCCGCCGGCGAAAAUCACGGUACGCACCGCCUAAGCCAAUUUGCAAUGAUGCCUCCUCUUCCUUACACUCGUACCUACUAUACACCUCAGAUCGUGUCAAGUGCGUACGCGCGUGUCGUGCUGCUGCAAUACGUAAUAACGCGUCAGUCACGGUGUAGAGACACACACGAAUCACUAUUUUUACUACGUCGUAAAGAGUGGUCGAGUAGCAUGUGUGCCGAAUGUGUGUAUCCUCGUAGACGUCGCAAUACGCCGCGGUUUCUGACGAAACCAAUCGGGCUAACCUGAGCUGAACACCUGAGGUUCCCAAGUGUGAGCAGCUUGGCCGGGUCUCCGAAUGCAGCCGGGGUAGCUUUGGCUAGUCUGUAUUAAUCGUAGACGUGCUCCAACUUACGCUUCUAUCUUGGGUUAUUAGUUCUUCAGGUGCUGAUGCAUUUUCCGCGCGUCUACUUGGACAUUCUUCGGCGGGUCCCAGGAAGUGUGAUGCACUCGGUAGUGGUAGUGUUAAGAUCGCAAUGACCAAACAUUAUUUUCAGAACUGUGUCGUCACGAUGUAACCGUAAUUACUGAUAAUAUAACGAUAACGGUAAUUUUUGAAUAAAUAUUCACUUUCUUGAUAAGCUCAAACGUACUGCGCUUGUAUGUGCAAUAAAGAGAAGAUAAAAGUGCAAUUAAAAUCUCAGGUAGGAUAUCGUCCGUAUAAAACGUGUCAUGCCUUAAGGGAAGAUGAAUGUGUCUCUCUUCACGACGAAAUUUCUUUGCAACAUGAUUUCUUCGAGCGACUAUCGCCGCUUAUUCCACUUCACAGCUCGAUAACAACGCAAAUACCCUGCAAUCGGGGUAUCUGCGUGAUUGUCCUCGUUACUGAAGUCAAAACGUUGUCUUUAACGUGCAGCAUCCAGCACAAUUUUGUUUUGGUCAUUGCUAUACCUUGCAAACUAAUACAUUAUUAUAGCGCACUGUCAUAUUUUGCGACGCGCGAGCACGAGGCACUUAUGAUAAUCACGUGGGGUCGGCCUGAUCAUGUACACACUGUAUACUCCAAGCUCCAUCCGAUUCAAGAACCGUUCUCGUGGGGGAACCUAUUCGAUUCGUCAAACUGACGAAUUUUUUCUCAUUCCCAUAACUGUACUGUUACUUGCGAGAGUCAAUUAACUGUCACCGGAAAUGUGGCACAGCUUGGAACAUCUGUCCGCUUUUGAAAAAUGCAAGGGUACAGUAUGCAAGGGAAUACCAAAGCAAAGAAACACGCGACGAGUAAUGUCGGCUCGUUGAGGCUAUCUAGAGUCAUCAGUCGCGAUCGGUUGCGUCAUGGAGUGUUGUCAAUUGUGGUAAUCCGUUCAUCGUCUUCGAUUAUCCUUUGCGAAGUAGAGUCAUGCGAUUUGCACGUAGGAAGGUUAGGUUGGACGAGUUAUCGUCGAAUAUAUAUAGAGCCUUGCGUUACACAGCUACGAUUACUUGCAAAAAAGGGUCACUUCUUACACUAGUAACUUAAACCGCCCUGCCUGAUCAACGCAACUUCGCCAUAUUAUGUAACUGUAAAUACGUUACCCCGAUGUGUGGACGAACAGUUAGUUAAAGUUUAAGUUAAUCGUACCUGCUUUACACACACACACAUACACACACAGACAGCGUUAAUGUUUGUCAGCGGAUUUUGCAUAUUAGUUAUAUAUAUAUUCUAUGUGUGUAAUAUAAGUUGUUAAUUUAUACACGGUCGGCUGCCUUUUUAUCAGGAACUACGCAAGGGACGUUUGAAUUUUGUCGAUGUGCGCUGAUAUUAUUACGAUGCACACAUAUCGUAGCGAGUAGGAGACAUACUUUGAUGAUACUGUAAUAUUAUCAAUUUAGUUGGGUCAUUGUUUCGGCGAGGCGUUAAAGCGGUCUAAUCGAUACACUCGUAUAUACACAUACACGCGUAUUUUUAAAUGGGCUACCAUUAGGUACCACCGUUUCAUCGUAAUGAUUCGACUAUUAAUUAGUACUGUAACAACAUUAUAUCGCGUAUGCUAUGUUCAGCUUUUGUUCGUAAUAACUGUACUAAACCUUCGUGAGUUGCAAGAUUGUGUCCAAUAUGUACAUAUGUGCAUUUGGUUUCAGCGCGGAUUGGACACUUCUCGAUGCAGUUUGGAAAGCAGUCAAAUCUAAUGAGAGAAUUUUUUCUUAAUAUCCAUAAAUUCUCUUAUCUGAUAGAUUCUCUUAUCAGAAAUCAUCGGCUGCGUUUCAAACUCAGAGAAGUGCUAAACCGUUGUGAAACGGGUAUGCAACGGGUAUAUAUGACAUCAUCUUAUCGAUUCAACUUACGUUCGAUGCUAUCAUGUCAGUCGUUACAUUUUGUUGAACAAUAAAACAUUUGACUGUAAUCUUAAAAAUGUUACUGGAAUAUAUACUACGUAUAGAAAAGGCGGGUCAUUUUUUUUUACGACACUUAAAUCGCUUUCUUAUCAUGUGAAAGCACGGACCUUCCUUCUGAACUUUUUUUACCUGUGUAUUGCAAUGUAAUUUUUCUUUACCAAGUUAUUUAAUACUGAAAUAAAAUGCCACUUUAACUUCAGUUUAAUCCGCGAAAGUAGAUCGAAUUGAUGUGAGACACUCGUUAUAAGAGGUGAAUAGAAAGCUAAAAGUCUUUUCUUUAAAGCAAGUUCUUAAAAUAACUUUUAAGAAAAAUGAUUUUUCAAUAUAGAUACAAAUCAAGGAUGAAAUUGGAAAUUGAAUGUUUAUUUUUAAUUUGAUCUCAAUACAACUCGAUAUUGCCUACUGAA